RNAcentral lists this ribosomal RNA (484 nucleotides) under uncultured bacterium. RNAcentral's name for it is "partial 16S ribosomal RNA". It matches the Rfam family "Bacterial small subunit ribosomal RNA", at positions 30 to 507 of the family's 1533-position model. The record is from RNAcentral.
AUUGAACGCUGGCGGCAGGCCUAACACAUGCAAGUCGAGCGGAUGAAGGGAGCUUGCUCCUGGAUUCAGCGGCGGACGGGUGAGUAAUGCCUAGGAAUCUGCCUGGUAGUGGGGGAUAACGUCCGGAAACGGGCGCUAAUACCGCAUACGUCCUGAGGGAGAAAGUGGGGGAUCUUCGGACCUCACGCUAUCAGAUGAGCCUAGGUCGGAUUAGCUAGUUGGUGGGGUAAAGGCCUACCAAGGCGACGAUCCGUAACUGGUCUGAGAGGAUGAUCAGUCACACUUGAACUGGGACACGGUCCAGACUCCUACGGGAGGGCGCAGUGGGGAAUUUUGGACAAUGGGCGGAAACCUGAUCCAACCAUGGCGCGUGGGUGGAAAAAGUCUUCGGAUUGUAAAGCACUUUAAGUUGGGAGGAAGGGCAGUAAGUUAAUACCUUGCUGUUUUGACGUUACCAACAGAAUAAGCACCGGCUAACUUCGUG